Molecule: long non-coding RNA, 233 nt
Filed under: Melopsittacus undulatus (budgerigar)
Lineage: Eukaryota; Metazoa; Chordata; Aves; Psittaciformes; Psittaculidae
Description: lncRNA (ENSMUNG00000018870.1)
Source: RNAcentral
ACCCAAUGUCCCCAUUGGUGCAGGAGAAGGAGCAGAGCAGCCUCCGGUCGCACGCGGAUGGGCUGCAGGAGGAGACCCAGCACCUGCACAGCGAGGGGCAGGAGCUGCGGGCCCAGCUGCAGGCACUGGUGCCCUCGGUGACGCUGCUUGAGGCCCAGCUCUGCCGCUGCUCCGAGCUCCUGCUCAGCCACGAGGCCACCGCAGCCCAGGUGAGGGCACCCAAUGGGGUCUGA